GACGAACGCUGGCGGCGUGCUUAACACAUGCAAGUCGAACGGAAAGGCCCUGCUUUUGUGGGGUGCUCGAGUGGCGAACGGGUGAGUAACACGUGAGUAACCUGCCCUUGACUUUGGGAUAACUUCAGGAAACUGGGGCUAAUACCGGAUAGGAGCUCCUGCUGCAUGGUGGGGGUUGGUAAGUUUCGGCGGUUGGGGAUGGACUCGCGGCUUAUCAGCUUGUUGGUGGGGUAGUGGCUUACCAAGGCUUUGACGGGUAGCCGGCCUGAGAGGGUGACCGGCCACAUUGGGACUGAGAUACGGCCCAGACUCCUACGGGAGGCAGCAGUGGGGAAUAUUGCACAAUGGGCGGAAGCCUGAUGCAGCAACGCCGCGUGCGGGAUGACGGCCUUCUGGUUGUAAACCGCUUUCGCCUGUGACGAAGCGUGAGUGACGGUAAUGGGUAAAGAAGCACCGGCUAACUACGUG
Molecule: ribosomal RNA, 468 nt
Filed under: uncultured bacterium
Lineage: Bacteria
Description: partial 16S ribosomal RNA
Rfam family: Bacterial small subunit ribosomal RNA
Source: RNAcentral